GUCCGGGUGGUGGAAUUGGUAGACACGCUACUUUGAGGGGGUAGUGGCCGUUGGGCUGUGUGAGUUCGAAUCUCAUCUCGGACACCC
This 87-nucleotide transfer RNA is filed under the name Barnesiella sp. WM24. RNAcentral describes it as "tRNA-Leu". It matches the Rfam family "tRNA". From Rfam's summary of the family: Transfer RNA (tRNA) molecules are approximately 80 nucleotides in length. Their secondary structure includes four short double-helical elements and three loops (D, anti-codon, and T loops). Further hydrogen bonds mediate the characteristic L-shaped molecular structure. tRNAs have two regions of fundamental functional importance: the anti-codon, which is responsible for specific mRNA codon recognition, and the 3' end, to which the tRNAs corresponding amino acid is attached (by aminoacyl-tRNA synthetases). tRNAs cope with the degeneracy of the genetic code in two manners: having more than one tRNA (with a specific anti-codon) for a particular amino acid; and 'wobble' base-pairing, i.e. permitting non-standard base-pairing at the 3rd anti-codon position. Lineage: Bacteria; Pseudomonadati; Bacteroidota; Bacteroidia; Bacteroidales; Barnesiellaceae. The record is from RNAcentral.